Molecule: ribosomal RNA, 429 nt
Filed under: Gemmatimonadota bacterium
Lineage: Bacteria; Pseudomonadati; Gemmatimonadota
Description: Gemmatimonadetes bacterium partial 16S ribosomal RNA
Rfam family: Bacterial small subunit ribosomal RNA
Source: RNAcentral
UAGGGAAUCUUCGGCAAUGGACGAAAGUCUGACCGAGCAACGCCGCGUGAGUGAAGAAGGUUUUCGGAUCGUAAAACUCUGUUGUUAGAGAAGAACAAGGACGUUAGUAACUGAACGUCCCCUGACGGUAUCUAACCAGAAAGCCACGGCUAACUACGUGCCAGCAGCCGCGGUAAUACGUAGGUGGCAAGCGUUGUCCGGACUUAUUGGGCGUAAAGCGAGCGCAGGCGGUUUCUUAAGUCUGAUGUGAAAGCCCCCGGCUCAACCGGGGAGGGUCAUUGGAAACUGGGAGACUUGAGUGCAGAAGAGGAGAGUGGAAUUCCAGGUGUAGCGGUGAAAUGCGUAGAUAUAUGGAGGAACACCAGUGGCGAAGGCGGCUCUCUGGUCUGUAACUGACGCUGAGGCUCGAAAGCGUGGGGAGCAAACAGG